RNAcentral lists this long non-coding RNA (1462 nucleotides) under Canis lupus familiaris (dog). Its description in RNAcentral is "lncRNA (ENSCAFG00040018688.1)". Lineage: Eukaryota; Metazoa; Chordata; Mammalia; Carnivora; Canidae. The record is from RNAcentral.
AUGACGCUCUGCGCUUGCCCAAUGGGCUUGAAAUUCUCUUUUCCUCUCUCUGCCCCUUUCCCCACUCACACACUCUCUCUCCAAAUGAAUAAAUACAAUCUCAGAAAAAAAAAAAAAAGGAAAAGAAAGAAAGGUGGCAGUAUUUUUCAUGAAUACAAUUUUCCUGUCUUUCCUCCCCAGCGGAACCGAGAGUUAGAAUUGUAUGAAAAUCAGAAGUGCUUCUUGUUGUUUUUGAGAUUCCUUGCCCAUUCUAUUGUAGAGCAUCUGAAGAGCCAGCAAAAGGUCAGAGUGGCAGAAGCACAAAGAACAGAGAGGAGUGUAACCCCAGAUAUGAGGUAGAGUACUGUCCUUUUGCUGGGGAUAGAGCAGUCAGUGGUGGGGUAUGGGGUGGAGAUAGACAAUAAAUAGAAGAAAACUCAGUAGGUAAUCACACCAGGAGGUGAAAAAUGCUAUGAUGAAAAAUGAAAGGAAGUAGGAUGGAAAGAAUAGUGGGAGUAUGUAGCUACUAUUUUUUAAAUUAUAAUUUAACUUGAUUUUACUUUAAAGAUUUUAUUUAUUUGAGAGAGAGAGAGAGAGAGCCUGCAUGAGUGAGGAGAGAGGCAGAGAGGGAGAAGCAGACUCCCUGCUGAACAUAGAGCCUGAUAGGGAGCUCAAUUCUAGUACCCUGAGAUCAUGAUCUGGGCCAAAGUCAGACACUUAACUGACCAAGCCACCCAGGCACCUUGGUAGCUGCUAUUUUAGAUAGGCAGGCAGGGAAGACAUCUCUGGUGAAGUGAUAUUUGAGCAAAGACCUGGUGUUUUACAGAUAAGAAAGUUCAGAGAGGUAAAGCAACUUUCCUAAAGUUAUAAGGAAGACAUAGUAUACAAUUUGUUUCUUUUUUUUAAGAUUUUACUUUUUACAUCAUCUCUACAAUCAACUUGGGGCUGGAACUCACAACCUCAGUAUCAAGAGUCACAUGUUCUUCUGACUAAGCCAGCUAGCUGACUCUCUUUUGUUUCUUUCUUUUUUUUUUUUUUUAAGUUUUAAAAUUUAUAUAGUCUUUACACCCAGCAGGGGCUUGAACACACAACCCCAAGAUCAAGAGUCACAUGCUCUUCUGACCAAGCCAGCCAGGUGCCCCUAAAUUUGUUUCUUUGAUUCAAAAGCCACUAUAAAUGGUACUUCCCUCUGUAGGGAGUAUACCUCAAUGUUUCAGAAACCCUUUGAGUUCAGUUCCCAACUGUUAGCUUGGCUAUCUUGACCCUAUCCCUUGCACCAAAACAUUUCUAAGAGGUAAGACUUAUAUAAGAGAUUUUUGUAUGCUUUGAAUUUCAGUGGCAAUAGGGACAGAAAGAUUUGCUUUGAGGAUGUGCUGGGGAUUGUUUUGGAAGUCAUUUCUUAACUCUAAAGUCUAAAUCUAGGUUUUGGUGUCCUUAAGCUCUACUCAGGAAGGUGAACACCCCCUUGAAAGAGCUGGAGCUG